Long non-coding RNA from Oncorhynchus keta (chum salmon), 1502 nucleotides. RefSeq lists it as uncharacterized. Lineage: Eukaryota; Metazoa; Chordata; Actinopteri; Salmoniformes; Salmonidae. The transcript is spliced from 3 exons. The record is from RefSeq and is a predicted model, not a curated record.
GAGAGAGAGAGAGAGAGAGAGAGAGAGAGAGAGAGAGAGAGAGAGAGAGAGAGAGAGAGAGAGAGAGAGAGAGAGUGAGAUAGAUAGAGAGAGAGAGAGAGAGAGAGAGAGAGAGAGAGAGAGAGAGUGAGAGAGAGAGUGAGGAGGAGGAGAGAGAGGAGGAUGAGAGAGGAGGAUGAGAGAGAGUUGCUGCCAUGCAUGACAUCACAAACACGCACAGUCACACUUGUUAAAGUGUCUGUUCUCUCUCAAGAGUACAGAGGAACAUUCAGCUCUGAGUCUGAGCAGUACGACAAGACUCAUCCUGCCUGCGACACACAUUGCACUCUGAAGCACCAUACUGAUUUAACCAGCUGCGGCAUCAAUAACACAGGGGUGUGUGUGUGUGUGUUUGUGUGCAGGGCCUAAUAUGUACUAGAGAUGGUGUGAGAUGGUGUGGAUAAUUCAUGAAAAUGUACACAAUAAUGUACAGUAAACCACUGAGCCACACUGGUCUGCUGAACUCUACUCUACUGAACUCUACUCUACGGUACUGAACUGAACUCUACUCUACAGUCCUGAACUGAACUCUACUGACUAUAUGAAUAAAGUAAUAUAUAUUAGCCAAUGUCAAUGCAAAACAAAACUAACUAUACAAGACAUUUUGUUGUAGGCAGAACGCAUCGGAGUAGGAUUCUAUUGCACUGACAGGCACUACUCAGCACGUACUCUACACAGACUGGUGCGCCAGUCUGGUCCUUCUGUGGCUCAGUUGGUAGAGCAUGGCGCUUGUAACACCAGGGUAGUGGGUUCGAUUCCCGGGACCACCCAUACGUAGAAUGUAUGCACACAUGACUGUAAGUCGCUUUGGAUAAAAGCGUCAGCUAAAUGGCAUAUAUUAUUAUUAUUAUAUUAGAGUUGCAGUAUCCCUAUAUGCAAAUAGACCAUUGCCAUAUAUGGAUCUGUGCCCUUCACUUUGAACUGGACUGUGUUUACAGCAUGAGGAGUUGUGAGUAGGUGAACUGGACUGUGUUUACAGCAUGAGGAGUCGUGAGCAGGUGAACUGGACUGUGUUUACAGCAUGAGGAGUCGUGAGCAGGUGAACUGGACUGUGUUUACAGCAUGAGGAGUUGUGAGUAGGUGAACUGGACUGUGUUUACAGCAUGAGGAGUUGUGAGUAGGUGAACUGGACUGUGUUUACAGCAUGAGGAGUUGUGAGUAGGUGAACUGGACUGUGUUUACAGCAUGAGGAGUCGUGAGCAGGUGAACUGGACUGUGUUUACAGCAUGAGGAGUUGUGAGUAGGUGAACUGGACUGUGUUUACAGCAUGAGGAGUUGUGAGUAGGUGAACUGGACUGUGUUUACAGCAUGAGGAGUCGUGAGCAGGUGAACUGGACUGUGUUUACAGCAUGAGGAGUCGUAAGUAAGUGAACUGGACUGUGUUUACAGAAUGGGGAAUAAUGAGUAGGUGAACUGGACUGUGUUUACAGCAUGAGAGGUUGUGAGUAAGUGAACUGGACUGU